This 253-nucleotide ribosomal RNA is filed under the name uncultured bacterium. Its description in RNAcentral is "partial 16S ribosomal RNA". It matches the Rfam family "Bacterial small subunit ribosomal RNA", at positions 524 to 776 of the family's 1533-position model. The record is from RNAcentral.
UACGGAGGUGGCGAGCGUUGCUCGGAUUUACUGGGUGUAAAGGGCACGUGGGCGGUCUUGUAAGCCCUGCCUGAAAGACUCUGGCUCAACCAGAGUAGGCGGUAGGGGACUGCAGGACUUGAGGAUGGGAGAGGCAAGCGGAAUUCCCGGUGUAAGGGUGAAAUCUGUAGAGAUCGGGAGGAACACCAGUGGCGAAGGCGGCUUGCUGGACCAUUUCUGACGCUGAGGUGCGAAAGCUAGGGGAGCGAACAGG